AUGCUUAAAUUUCUCUCCAGAUUUAUUAAAUCUUUUACUCUUUAUUAAGGAUUUCUGUGGAGAGGAACAAUUAUGAGACUAAUAGAAUUUGUUGAGGAUUUGUCACAUUCAUAGCU
Small nuclear RNA from Bombina bombina (fire-bellied toad), 116 nucleotides. RefSeq annotates it as U5 spliceosomal RNA. The record is from RefSeq and is a predicted model, not a curated record. The transcript has a single exon. Lineage: Eukaryota; Metazoa; Chordata; Amphibia; Anura; Bombinatoridae.